GGCUGUCAUUUACUAAAAGUUAUCAGUGGGAUAACUAUAGAAGUCCGCAUAUAUUUCUUAGUACUUUUAAUGGUUUUGAAACUAAACAUGCUAAAGAGAUGCUCAUUUUCAAAAUGCAGUUGGCUAUUGAAAGGGAACACAUUUUUACAAAACACGUGGAAGUUUGGGGAGAUAUUUUCCCAAACAAGUCCACAAUUUGGAGUGAAGAAGAUAUGGAUACCUGUUUAGAGUUAAUAACUGAUCAAGUAAAGUUAUCGGAAUCGGAACCGGGAAUGGAUGUAGUUUGGAUACUCCAUCAUGCCUGCUCCAAAUCACCGGGAAUGGAUGUAGUUUGGAUACGCCAUCAUGCCUGCUCCAAAUCAUCUGGAGUGAAGAAGAUACGGAUACUUGUUUAGAGUUAAUUACUGAUCAAGUAAAGUUAUCGGAAUCGGAACCGGG
Molecule: long non-coding RNA, 438 nt
Filed under: Mytilus galloprovincialis (Mediterranean mussel)
Lineage: Eukaryota; Metazoa; Mollusca; Bivalvia; Mytilida; Mytilidae
Source: RNAcentral